Molecule: long non-coding RNA, 779 nt
Filed under: Ananas comosus (pineapple)
Lineage: Eukaryota; Viridiplantae; Streptophyta; Magnoliopsida; Poales; Bromeliaceae
Description: long non-coding RNA (ACOM_LNC039994)
Source: RNAcentral
CUGAACACCAGGGAUACCACAACGAGAGCGAAGGGUUCUUCGUCUAGGGUUUUAGUGAAUUGAGUGAGGGGAGAAGGAGAGAUGAUGAUCGAUUUUUCUCUUUUUUUUUUCUUUUCUAUUUGUAAUCGGGCCGAUGGGCUGGAUGGGGUGGGUUGAAUAGAGUAACCUUUUAUUUUUCGUUGGAUUUAACUUUAUAUUUAGGCCUUAAUAAUUUUUUUAAAAAGUUUUGGCAUAAAUAGAAUACUUAUACAAAAGUAUUACAAAAAUGUGUCCCUAUAACCUAAUUCUGUUGUAGUGAUCGUCCAUUUGCUAUCAAUAGUAUUUGCCCACAUUUACUAUCAAUUUUUUAACUCUUGGAUAAGAAAUUAUAUGUUUAGAAUGAUAUUAGUUCCUUAGGGUUGAGUGGUCCCUAUUAGAUUAUAAUAUUUAAUCCAAUUGUUAAAAAUGAUUGAAGAAAUUGAUCCAAAUGCUAAAAAUUUGAUAGCAAAAGGAAUGUAUAUAUAUAUAUAUUGAGGGUCCGGCUACUACACUAUUAUGAGUACGAUCGCCCUCGUACUCAUAAGUUGUUUUCGAUGAUAGAGCUUCCAAAUCGACGAUCCACACCGUUAAACGUUAUUUACAGUAUUUAAAACUUCUAGAAAUCAAAUUUUAUAAUUUUUCGACAUCUACCUUACAAUCAAGAGGUCACAAAUUUGACAAUUUUUAAUAGCUGGUAUGGAAUACUUGCUAAUUUAACGAUGUAAAAGAAUCAAAAUUUAUUGAAUUUUUGAUAGAAAAUU